RNAcentral lists this transfer RNA (75 nucleotides) under Serratia phage vB_SmaM-Kashira. Its description in RNAcentral is "tRNA-Ile". It matches the Rfam family "tRNA". From Rfam's summary of the family: Transfer RNA (tRNA) molecules are approximately 80 nucleotides in length. Their secondary structure includes four short double-helical elements and three loops (D, anti-codon, and T loops). The record is from RNAcentral. Lineage: Duplodnaviria; Heunggongvirae; Uroviricota; Caudoviricetes.
UGGGGAUUAGCUCAGUGGUAGAGCAGGCUCUUGAUAAGGGUCAGGUCGCUGGUUCGAAUCCAGCAUCCCCAACCA